Molecule: ribosomal RNA, 253 nt
Filed under: uncultured bacterium
Lineage: Bacteria
Description: partial 16S ribosomal RNA
Rfam family: Bacterial small subunit ribosomal RNA
Source: RNAcentral
UACGUGGGGGGCAAGCGUUGUCCGGAUUUAUUGGGCGUAAAGAGCGUGUAGGCGGCCAAGCAGGUCCGCUGUGAAAACUCGAGGCUCAACCUCGAGACGUCGGUGGAAACCGUUUGGCUAGAGUCCGGAAGAGGAGAGUGGAAUUCCCGGUGUAGCGGUGAAAUGCGCAGAUAUCGGGAAGAACACCCGUGGCGAAGGCGGCUCUCUGGGACGGUACUGACGCUGAGGCACGAAAGCGUGGGGAGCAAACAGG